UACAGAGGGUGCGAGCCUUAAUCGGACUUACUGGUUGUAAAGCGUGCGUAGGCGCCUUUUUACUUCGGAUGUGAAAUCACCGAGCUUAACUUGGGAAUUGCAUUCGCUACUGGGAAGCUAGAGUAUGGGAGAGGAUGGUAGAAUUCCAGGUGUAGCGGUGAAAUGCGUAGAGAUCUGGAGGAAUACCGAUGGCGAAGGCAGCCAUCUGGCCUAAUACUGACGCUGAGGUACGAAAGCAUGGGGAGCAAACAGG
Molecule: unclassified non-coding RNA, 253 nt
Filed under: uncultured Moraxellaceae bacterium
Lineage: Bacteria; Pseudomonadati; Pseudomonadota; Gammaproteobacteria; Moraxellales; Moraxellaceae
Description: contains 16S-23S intergenic spacer region
Rfam family: Bacterial small subunit ribosomal RNA
Source: RNAcentral